RNAcentral lists this ribosomal RNA (207 nucleotides) under Nitrososphaeria archaeon. Its description in RNAcentral is "partial 16S ribosomal RNA". It matches the Rfam family "Archaeal small subunit ribosomal RNA", at positions 1277 to 1478 of the family's 1478-position model. The record is from RNAcentral. Lineage: Archaea; Thermoproteati; Nitrososphaerota; Nitrososphaeria.
UGAACGCGGAAUCCCUAGUAACCGCGUGUUAAAACCGCGCGGUGAAUACGUCCCCGCUCCUUGCACACACUGCCCGUCGCUCCACCCGAGUUGGGUCUGGGCGAGGCUUAGUCGUGUUGGCUAGGUCGAGCCUGGACCUGGCAAGGGGGGAGAAGUCGUAACAAGGUGGCCGUACGGGAACGUGCGGCCGGAUCACCUCCUACCGCC